AAGUCGUAACAAGGUUUCCGUAGGUGAACCUGCGGAAGGAUCAUUAACACGUAUCCAAACGUUAAACCCCCCUGUGAACCUUCACCUCUACAACAGUUUUCGGUUCCGGGAUGUCUGCAAGGAGCGUGCGAGCAAGUGGCCUGGCAUCCCCAAGCAGUUAGUGUCUGAAAGUGUCAUUAACUGUGUAAGGAUGACGCAGUCACGAUCGUUGGAGGCCCACACGGCCGGCGACCGGGUCACUGGGCGCAAGCCCCCCUAUAACAAACGCUGCUAAUCGCGGCCGCGAUAAUACGCAGUCGACCAAAAACCGAACAACUGUUAACAUC
RNAcentral lists this unclassified non-coding RNA (326 nucleotides) under fungal sp. RNAcentral's name for it is "partial internal transcribed spacer region". The stretch from base 1 to 46 matches the Rfam family "Eukaryotic small subunit ribosomal RNA", at positions 1786 to 1831 of the family's 1831-position model. Lineage: Eukaryota; Fungi. The record is from RNAcentral.